This 549-nucleotide ribosomal RNA is filed under the name uncultured bacterium. RNAcentral describes it as "partial 16S ribosomal RNA". It matches the Rfam family "Bacterial small subunit ribosomal RNA", at positions 355 to 896 of the family's 1533-position model. The record is from RNAcentral.
UGGGGAAUUUUGGACAAUGGGCGCAAGCCUGAUCCAGCCAUGCCGCGUGCGGGAAGAAGGCCUUCGGGUUGUAAACCGCUUUUGUCAGGGAAGAAAUCUUCUGAGUUAAUACCUCGGGAGGAUGACGGUACCUGAAGAAUAAGCACCGGCUAACUACGUGCCAGCAGCCGCGGUAAUACGUAGGGUGCAAGCGUUAAUCGGAAUUACUGGGCGUAAAGCGUGCGCAGGCGGUUUUGUAAGACAGGUGGUGAAAUCCCCGGGCUCAACCUGGGAACUGCCUUUGUGACUGCAAGGCUUGAGUGCGGCAGAGGGGGAUGGAAUUCCGCGUGUAGCAGUGAAAUGCGUAGAUAUGCGGAGGAACACCGAUGGCGAAGGCAAUCCCCUGGGCCUGCACUGACGCUCAUGCACGAAAGCGUGGGGAGCAAACAGGAUUAGAUACCCUGGUAGUCCACGCCCUAAACGAUGUCAACUGGUUGUUGGGAAGGUUCCUUCUCAGUAACGUAGCUAACGCGUGAAGUUGACCGCCUGGGGAGUACGGCCGCAAGGUUG